This 406-nucleotide ribosomal RNA is filed under the name uncultured bacterium. RNAcentral describes it as "partial 16S ribosomal RNA". It matches the Rfam family "Bacterial small subunit ribosomal RNA", at positions 30 to 526 of the family's 1533-position model. The record is from RNAcentral.
AUUGAACGCUGGCGGCAGGCCUAACACAUGCAAGUCGCACGAGUGGCGGACGGGUGAGUAAUGUAUGGGAAACUGCCUGAUGGAGGGGGAUAACUACUGGAAACGGUCGCUAAUAACGCAUACCAUCGGAUGUGCCCAGAUGGGAUUAGCUAGUAGGUGGGGUAAAGGCUCACCUAGGCGACGAGCCCUAGCUGGUCUGAGAGGAGGACCAGCUACACUGGAACUGAGACACGGUCCAGACUCCUACGGGAGUCAGCAGUGGGGAAUAUUGCACAAUGGGCGCAAGCCUGAUGCAGCCAUGCCGCGUGUAUGAAGAAGGCCUUCGGGUUGUAAAGUACUUUCAGCGGGGAGGCGUUACCCGCAGAAGAAGCACCGGCUAACUCCGUGCCAGCAGCCGCGGUAAUUC